This 253-nucleotide ribosomal RNA is filed under the name uncultured bacterium. Its description in RNAcentral is "partial 16S ribosomal RNA". It matches the Rfam family "Bacterial small subunit ribosomal RNA", at positions 524 to 776 of the family's 1533-position model. The record is from RNAcentral.
UACGGAGGGUGCAAGCGUUGUUCGGAAUCACUGGGCGUAAAGCGCACGUAGGCGGACUCACAGGUCAAUUGUGAAAUACCUGGGCUCAACCCGGGAACUGCAGUUGAAACCGUUUGUCUUGAAUACCUGAGAGGGUGGGGGAAUACCUGGUGGAGAAGUGAAAUUCGUAGAGAUCAGGUGGAACACCGGAGGCGAAGGCGCCUGCCUGGCAGUGUAUUGACGCUGAGGUGCGAAAGUGCGGGGAGCAAACAGG